Glycine soja is the source of this 864-nucleotide long non-coding RNA. RefSeq lists it as uncharacterized. Lineage: Eukaryota; Viridiplantae; Streptophyta; Magnoliopsida; Fabales; Fabaceae. The transcript has 2 exons. The record is from RefSeq and is a predicted model, not a curated record.
ACAGCCUCUGCAACAGUGAGGAAGAUCUUGUCCUCACCAAGCAAAGUAGCAAAGUUUGAUGUGUGGAGCUUGUCUAUUACUAUUGGGCCAGGGUUUGCCAGAACAAGCUGGUCAAAGAGGUGCUUUGGUAUAGAGAGGAAAAAGAGAAAGCAUACUCCAUGAUGGGCUGAUGACAGCACUGAAUGAAUCACAGAGAUAACAUCAGUUUUCUUUGUGAACUUUUCAAUCCCAAGGAAGCCCUUGAGCUGUUGAAGGGUAAUUGUGAUGGCAGCUCCCCCCAUAAAACCAACAAUUGCAGCAUGAGAAAGGAAAUCUAUCAAAAAUCCUAACCUGAUCAAAAGAUCCACCCAGCCAGAAUGUCAUCAAGGUGUAUUAAAAAGUAGAGCCUUUCAUUAGAGGAUGGUAGCAACUUGCCCAUGUACAAGGCAGUCAUAAACAUUAGUGCUAGGAAGAUUUAUGCAAUCCCUCUAGUCAAAGUAGCGUACCUUAAAAUCCCAAGUGUUGCUUGAGUAAUCCCCGCAAAGAAAGUGGCAGUAAAAGCAAGUCGUCGAUAGUCUACUGGAUUUGCAAUGGGAUCAAUCUCACUCUGAAGUAAAGUCCCCAGCAAGAGAGAAACCACUGCCACCGGUCCUAUUGCAAUGUCACGAGAACUACCCAUGACAGCAUAAAUCAGUGGUGGAAUAAAGCUGGAGUCUGCAAAGGAAACAAAAUCUCAAUCCAAUAUCCAAAGUAAACACAUAGGCAAACUGAGCUGUUUAUGAGACAAGAGUCUUACACAAUCCAUACUGUGGAUCUAAAUUUGCAAGCUUUGCAUAUCCAAUGUCCUGUUUUUCAAGAUAAAUAUUAGAAUCUACCAUUCUAUUA